AGUGAACGCUGGCGGUAGGCCUAACACAUGCAAGUCGAACGGCAGCACAGUAAGAGCUUGCUCUUACGGGUGGCGAGUGGCGGACGGGUGAGGAAUACAUCGGAAUCUACUUUUUCGUGGGGGAUAACGUAGGGAAACUUACGCUAAUACCGCAUACGACCUACGGGUGAAAGCAGGGGAUCUUCGGACCUUGCGCGAUUGAAUGAGCCGAUGUCGGAUUAGCUAGUUGGCGGGGUAAAGGCCCACCAAGGCGACGGUCCGUAGCUGGUCUGAGAGGAUGAUCAGCCACACUGGAACUGAGACACGGUCUAGACUCCUACGGGAGGCAGCAGUGGGGAAUAUUGGACAAUGGGCGCAAGCCUGAUCCAGCCAUACCGCGUGGGUGAAGAAGGCCUUCGGGUUGUAAAGCCCUUUUGUUGGGAAAGAAAAGCAGCAGGUUAAUACCCCGCUGUUCUGACGGUACCCAAAGAAUAAGCACCGGCUAACUUCGUG
RNAcentral lists this ribosomal RNA (492 nucleotides) under uncultured bacterium. RNAcentral's name for it is "partial 16S ribosomal RNA". It matches the Rfam family "Bacterial small subunit ribosomal RNA", at positions 29 to 507 of the family's 1533-position model. The record is from RNAcentral.